CUGAAUGGGGCAACCCAACUGAUACUUUGUUAUUGUUACACUUUGUGUAAUCAAUAAUGGGGUAAAACAGUUAUUAAUUACCUGAAUACAUAGGGUUUUUAAAGCAAACCUGGGGAACUGAAACAUCUAAGUACCCAGAGGAAAGGAAAUCAAUAGAUACUCCCGUAGUAGUGGCGAGCGAACCGGGACCAGCCGAGCAAUGAAUGUGACUAGAACCAGUUGGAAAGCUGGGCGAUAUGGGUGACAGCCCCGUAUAGGAAGCAUGAUUUGACGUAUUAAGUAGGGCGGAACACGUGAAAUUCUGUCUGAACAUGGGGGGACC
Molecule: ribosomal RNA, 322 nt
Filed under: uncultured bacterium
Lineage: Bacteria
Description: bacterial LSU rRNA
Rfam family: Bacterial large subunit ribosomal RNA
Source: RNAcentral